GACGAACGCUGGCGGCGUGCUUAACACGUGCAAGUCGAACGGAAAGGCCCUGCUUUUGUGGGGUGCUCGGGUGGCGAACGCGUGCGUAACACGUGAGUAACCUGCCCUUGACUUUGGGAUAGCUUCACGAAACUGGGGCUACUACCGGAUCGCAGCUCCUGCUGCAUGGUGGGGGUUGGAACGUUUCGGCGGGUGGGGAUGGACUCGCGGCUUAUGAGCUUGUUGGUUGGGUAGUGGUUUACCGAGGCUUUGACUGGUAGCCGGCCUGGGAGGGUGAACGGGGUCAAGGGGCCUGAGGGAGGGAGCAGACGCGUACGGGAGACAGCGGGGGCGAACAUGGCACAGUGGGACGAAGUGUGAUGCAGCAACGCCGGGGGUGGGAUGACGGUCUUCGGGGAGUAAACCGCUUUCGCCUGUGACGAAGCGUUAGUGACGGUAAUGGGUAAAGAAGCACCGGCUAACUACGUG
RNAcentral lists this ribosomal RNA (468 nucleotides) under uncultured bacterium. Its description in RNAcentral is "partial 16S ribosomal RNA". It matches the Rfam family "Bacterial small subunit ribosomal RNA", at positions 28 to 507 of the family's 1533-position model. The record is from RNAcentral.